RNAcentral lists this ribosomal RNA (408 nucleotides) under uncultured bacterium. RNAcentral describes it as "partial 16S ribosomal RNA". It matches the Rfam family "Bacterial small subunit ribosomal RNA", at positions 30 to 526 of the family's 1533-position model. The record is from RNAcentral.
AUUGAACGCUGGCGGCGUGCCUAAUACAUGCAAGUCGAACGGAGUGGCGCACGGGUGGGUAAUUUAUAGCUAAUCUGCCCUACACUAGCGGGCAACAGUUGGAAACGACUGCUAAUACUCUAUAGUGUAGGAUGAGGCUAUAUUGUAUCAGCUAGUUGGUGAGGUAAUGGCGCACCAAGGCUAUGACGCAUAACUGGUCUGAGAGGAUGAUCAGUCACACUGGAACGGAGGCACGGGCCAGACUCAUACGGGAGGCAGCAGUAGGGAAUAAGGCUCAAUGGGGGAAACCCUGAAGCAGCAUCGCGGCGUGGAGUAUGACACUUUGCGGAGCGUAAACUCCUUUUGUUAGGGAAGCGGUACCUAACGAAGAAGCACCGGCUAACUCCGUGCCAGCAGCCGCGGUAAUUC